AGCCAGCCUUCCUGCCUACUUAUUCCGUUCUUCCAGUUUAGUUAGUGUUUUUCUGUUCUGCUUCUUACCAGCAAUAAAGCUGUGUGUUUUGAAUUACUUCCGCCUCAGUGAGUCCUGCAUUUUGGGUCCUCCCUUCCUGCCUGCCCACACUCAGACAUGACAAAUGAAGAGAGAGGGAGGACAAAAACAUUUGAAGGCUGUAAAACAAAUAAAUUCAGAACAAGUGAUGAAGAGUAAACCACUGAUGAGGAAGUGAGCAGGAAGUUGAAGCUGUGUUCAUGUCUGAGACUGUCUCAUUUGUCAAUGUGAGAGCAGAGAGUAGAGACUGACAGACAGAGAAGUACGAUGGCUGCAGUCAUGUGGAUUCAAAUGUCUUCUUUCCUGCUGCUGAUGCUUCAGAUUACAGAAACAACAGGACAGACUUUGUCCUCCUUCAGAGCUGCCAGAGCUGGACAUGACAUCACUUUGUCUUGUGAAAAUGUGAUAGAUGGUCAACAUGACUGCAGCUAUACUACCUGGGAAUUCACUGAUUCAAGACAGACACCAGCAGUAGAGCUGGUUGUUCAUGGACAGAUUAAAGAAAAUGCUAAAGCUGAAUACACCAGACUGAGUGUUACAGCGAACUGUUCUCUGCUUAUAAAGAAGGUACAAGCUGAGGAUGUUGGUCGUUACACCUGCACACAGUACAAAACAAGAGGAGGACAAAAAGAAUGUUCAGACUAUAUGAUUAAUCUGUCUGUUAUUAACAUGACUGAACAUGAGAACAACAAUAAAGUCAUUGUGAACUGCUCUGUGCUGACACAUGAACACUAUAGACACACAGUGGAGUGGCUGCAUGAGGGUAAAAAGAAAAUAUCAGACGUGGAGAUCAAACCAGGUUUCUGCUCUGUGACUGUGACAUUUAAAAGAUCUCACCGUGAUCAGAAGUCACAGUUUUAUAAUUCAUUGAAGUGCAAAGUGACAGAUAAACACACUAAAGAAGAACAACUGUUUCUCUUCAAACUCAAGUCCUCAGGUGAGAAAACAGGUGAGAUUAUGUUCAAAUCGCUUCACAGUGAUGAGCAGAUGUGUUUAACUCACAUGAUUAUUAAUUAUAGCAGCGCUCUACAUUAUCUGUUUUUGUAAAUGUAGUUUGCAGGUUUUUUUCUUUGAAUACUUUUGUUUUAUUUUGUUAUUUCAUUUCUUUCUUUAGGUGAAAACACAAAAUCAACGACUGCAAAAUUUACCUCAACAACAAGAACAACAACAGCAAUGAGAUCAACAACAACAAUGAGAUCAACAACAACAAUGAGAUCAACAACAACAAUGAGAUCAACAACAACAAUGAGAUCAACAACAACAAUGAGAACAACAACAACAACAACAACAAUGAGAUCAACAACAACAAUGAGAACAACAACAACAACAAUGAGAACAACAAAAUCUUCUCUAGAAUCAAAAAAAUCCUCACAAGGUUUGUUAUUAUGGCUCAUUAUCCUUCCCGUUGGUUUAUCAGCACUCUUAAUAAUUGUUGUGGUCAUAAGAUGGAAGAAACAUAAAGGAAAAGAAGGGCAGCUGGCCGGCAACACUGGACUGAGCUUAAACGCUGCAGAGACUCAGUCUGGACCAGGAACCAAUCAAACCAGGGCUGGAGCUGAUGAUGGUGUUUCCUACGUCUCCAUCAGCUUGCCCAAGAGGACCAGGAGUAAAACCCGGUCCCGUGGUCAUGAUGAAGGUGACACUGUGACCUACAGCACAGUGAAAGCUGUUUCCUCUUCUGCUGGAGAUGAUCCCAACCACCUCUAUUCCACCAUCAAUGAUGUAAAGAAGUAGGAUGAUGCUCAUGAAAAGAGAUAUGGUAGAUGCUGUUUCACUUUUUAGAUGAGAGAGUGAAUGUGAAAAGUCAUGGGUUAUUUUUUUUUGUCUUACGUAUUGGUUGUUUUGAACUAAUAACAUAAUAUUGUUUUGGUAAAUGGACUUAUAUAACACUUUUAUAUAGCUACUCUUUCAGAGCACUCAAAGUGCUUUAUACAACAAAUUCAUUCACCCAAGCAGUUAAGUGCUCCCUAUCUAACAUUAAUACUCAUUCACACUCCGAUGGAAGCAUCGGAGAGCAACAUGGGGUUAGUAUCUUGCCCAAGAAUAUUUGGCAUGCAGACUGGAGCAGACUGGGAUCAAACCACCACCCUUCUGGUUAGUAGCUGACCUGCUCUAACACCUGAGCUACAGACACCAAACUGAAAAUCAUUUAUGUUUCAAAAACAGACAUGUUACCACACAUAUAUAUUUCUGUUUUGACCUAAACUGUUUCUGCCAGAGGGGUAUGUGUUGACGUUUUAUUCCAAGAAACCUUUUCUGUUUGCUGCUGCUCAUAAAAGUUUAGCUGAUAGCGUCCUAUCACAGUACAUGACAUCAUUACUGUCUAAGGCGCAGCUUCAAAUGCAUCCUGAACAGUGCGGACAAAAAUUAGAAAUAAGAAAAAGUACUAAUAAAUUUUUUUUUGCCACUGUAAAUAAAUGCUUUAAAUAAAGGAUCCAGAUACUUUCUUCAUUUUAAGAAGAAACCACUUUAGAGCCUGUGUCAUUUUGUUAUAAUUGCACAUAUUGAAGUGUUCACUGAAAAAAGAUAAUGUUGGAUUUAUUUAAUUUAAUAGUGGACAUUGGAUAAACACAGAUGCUUUGCUUUGGCAGCAACUUAAACAAUCAACUUAAAAUGAGGUGUUAAAUAUGACAAAGAUGCUUACAUAAAUCCAACACAUGGCCAGUC
Molecule: long non-coding RNA, 2745 nt
Organism: Astatotilapia calliptera (eastern happy)
Lineage: Eukaryota; Metazoa; Chordata; Actinopteri; Cichliformes; Cichlidae
Source: Ensembl